RNAcentral lists this ribosomal RNA (474 nucleotides) under uncultured Acholeplasma sp. RNAcentral describes it as "bacterial SSU rRNA". It matches the Rfam family "Bacterial small subunit ribosomal RNA", at positions 903 to 1382 of the family's 1533-position model. The record is from RNAcentral. Lineage: Bacteria; Bacillati; Mycoplasmatota; Mollicutes; Acholeplasmatales; Acholeplasmataceae.
AAAGGAAUUGACGGGACCCCGCACAAGCGGUGGAUCAUGUUGUUUAAUUCGAUGAUACGCGAAGAACCUUACCAGGUCUUGACAUCCCCCGCGAUGCUUUAGAGAUAAAGCGGAGGUAUUCGGGGAGACAGGUGGUGCAUGGUUGUCGUCAGCUCGUGUCGUGAGAUGUUGGGUUAAGUCCCGCAACGAGCGCAACCCCUAUUGCUAGUUACCAUCAUUAAGUUGGGGACUCUAGCGAGACUGCCAGUGAUAAACUGGAGGAAGGUGGGGAUGACGUCAAAUCAUCAUGCCCCUUAUGACCUGGGCUACAAACGUGAUACAAUGGCUGGAACAAAGGGAUGCGAAGCAGUGAUGUGGAGCGAAACCCAUAAAAACAGUCUCAGUUCGGAUUGAAGUCUGCAACUCGACUUCAUGAAGUCGGAAUCGCUAGUAAUCGCGGAUCGGAACGCCGCGGUGAAUACGUUCUCGGGGUUU